Molecule: non-coding RNA, 223 nt
Organism: Phascolarctos cinereus (koala)
Lineage: Eukaryota; Metazoa; Chordata; Mammalia; Diprotodontia; Phascolarctidae
Source: RefSeq, a predicted model, not a curated record
CUGAAAAGCAUCUCUGAUCGUGAGGAUCCAGAGACUAAUCAUGAGGGCCCAGUGACGUCAGAGCUGGAGAGGAGAUACUUUCAGAUGAACCAAUUAUCUGGCUUCAAGAUAUUUCAGAUGACUGAGAUACAACCUUUUUGAACAGGUUGCUUGAGAAGCUUUUGUGUCUGGACAAGACAAGGUUGAACAAUUACAAAAAAAGCAGCUGUUCUUUGGAAGGGGU